UGAGGAAUAUUGCGCAAUGGGGGAAACCCUGACGCAGCGAUGCCGCGUGAGUGAAGAAGGCCUUCGGGUCGUAAAGCUCUGUCAAACGGGAAGAACAGUCCGGGGACGAAUAAUCUCCGGGCCUGACGGUACCGUUGAAGGAAGCACCGGCUAACUCCGUGCCAGCAGCCGCGGUAAGACGGAGGGUGCGAGCGUUAUUCGGAUUUAUUGGGCGUAAAGAGUGUGUAGGCGGUCGAUCAAGUCUGAUGUGAAAGCCCGGGGCUUAACCUCGGGAGGGCGUUGGAAACUGGUCGACUUGAGUUCGGGAGAGGAAAGCGGAAUUCCGGGUGUAGAGGUGAAAUUCGUAGAUAUCCGGAGGAACACCGGUGGCGAAGGCGGCUUUCUGGACCGAAACUGACGCUGAGACACGAAAGCGUGGGGAGCAAACAGG
RNAcentral lists this ribosomal RNA (430 nucleotides) under Bacillota bacterium. Its description in RNAcentral is "Firmicutes bacterium partial 16S ribosomal RNA". It matches the Rfam family "Bacterial small subunit ribosomal RNA", at positions 355 to 776 of the family's 1533-position model. Lineage: Bacteria; Bacillati; Bacillota. The record is from RNAcentral.